Molecule: long non-coding RNA, 587 nt
Filed under: Homo sapiens (human)
Lineage: Eukaryota; Metazoa; Chordata; Mammalia; Primates; Hominidae
Description: HSALNT0306721
Source: RNAcentral
GCCAGUUCUUUGGCAGAGGACAUUUAGACUGUUUCUAAUCUUUUGCUAGUAGGAACAAUGCUACAGUGAAUGCCUUGAAUGAAUGCCAUUUUGUUCAUGUAUGAGAACACCUGCAGGAUAAAUUCCUGGGAGAAAAAUUGCUAAAUCCAAGGGCUAGCAGUGUGUGACACCAUAACAAAGUUUAAGGGCAGCACGUCUCACACAUGCGGGUGAAUACUCAGUCAUCAUGCUUAUAAACUACAGAAGGAUCUGAAUGAGUUUCUAGAAUAAUUCCUAGUCUAAAGGUUCCUCCAAGGCAGAGCCGAUCUCCACUGCCCUUUAUCUCCUACCGCUAAGAGCAGUAGCCAACCCUGCACUUGACGGAUCAGCUGGUACCACCUAGAUCAAUAAACUGACUCCUCUGACCUUGUGGCCCUCCACCCAGGAACUGACUUAGUGCAAGAAGACAGCUCCAACUCCCUAUGAUUUCAUCCCUGAGCAAUCAGCACUCCUGGCUCACUGGCUUCCCCCAACCCACCAAGUUGUCCUUAAAAAAUCCGCUCCACGAAUGCUCCGGAGUCUGAUUUGAGUAAUAAUAAAACUCUGGU